RNAcentral lists this long non-coding RNA (535 nucleotides) under Sus scrofa (pig). Its description in RNAcentral is "lncRNA (ENSSSCG00070009585.1)". The record is from RNAcentral. Lineage: Eukaryota; Metazoa; Chordata; Mammalia; Artiodactyla; Suidae.
CGGACUCCAGCUCCAGACCGCGAGAGGGCGCCUUGCUUCUCACCAGCGGCCGCCACCAGUCUGCGACGACUGGACCUGCCCCCACCGCGGCGCGAUUUCGCUGGAGUUCGGGUACUGAGCGCCUGUCCCCCCCAGAGCCAGUCAGCGAAGAGCCCCGCGCCACCACUCCAGGAUAGAGGAAAGAAUCACCAUUGCCAAGAAUGGACUGAAGUUUCUGGUGGCAAGCCCAACAAGUAGAUAAGGAUUUUUCAGGAUCUCAUCAUCUGCUCCACUAUUCACGUGUGCUUCAAGACUAGGAUGAAAUGGAUGUCAAUAAGCUGUUUAUUCAGUUCCUGAUGCCAGUCAUAUUUAUCUUCUGUUUCCUUCACUUCCUCUGUACUCUGGUCCUGGAUGCCUUGUGGCUGACUCAUUAAAUUUCUUCUGUUCUUUCCAGGUGCAGGUAGGGAAAGCUGGAAAUGCCACCCAGUGCUAUUUGCCCUCUUCUAGUUUACUAAAUCACACUCACUGUCUGUAGGUUUUUUAUUUCCAUUGUUAG